RNAcentral lists this ribosomal RNA (352 nucleotides) under uncultured bacterium. Its description in RNAcentral is "bacterial SSU rRNA". It matches the Rfam family "Bacterial small subunit ribosomal RNA", at positions 335 to 669 of the family's 1533-position model. The record is from RNAcentral.
ACUCCUACGGGAGGCAGCAGUGGGAAUAUUGCACAAUGGGAAGCCAUCGAUGCAGCCAUGCCGCGCUGUGUGAAGAAGGCCAAUUCGGGCUUUGGUUAAAGACACUUUUCAGCGAGGAGGAAAGGGUGUGUGCUAAUACCAUACAUCUGUGACGUUACUCGCAGAAGAAGCACCGGCUAACUCCGUGCCAGCAGCCGCGGUAAUACGGAGGGUGCGAGCGUUAAUCGGAAUUACUGGGCGUAAAGCGCAUGCAGGUGGUUUGUUAAGUCAGAUGUGAAAGCCCGGGGCUCAAGCCUCGGAAUUGCAUUUGAAACUUGGACAGACUAGAGUACUGUAGAGGGGGUGAGAAUUG